UACGUAGGGAGCAAGCGUUACUCGGAAUCACUGGGCAUAAAGGGCGUGUAGGCGGGUGCGCAAGUCCGAUGUGAAAACCCUCGGCUCAACUGGGGAAUGGCAUUGGAUACUGCGUGUCUUGAGUGUGGGAGGGGAGAGUGGAACUCUUGGUGGAGCGGUGAAAUGCGUAGAUAUCAAGAGGAACGCCGGUGGCGAAAGCGGCUCUCUGGCCCAUUACUGACGCUGAGGCGCGAAAGCUAGGGGAG
This 245-nucleotide ribosomal RNA is filed under the name uncultured bacterium. RNAcentral's name for it is "partial 16S ribosomal RNA". It matches the Rfam family "Bacterial small subunit ribosomal RNA", at positions 524 to 768 of the family's 1533-position model. The record is from RNAcentral.